Mycena latifolia is the source of this 95-nucleotide non-coding RNA. The record is from the annotation of a GenBank genome assembly. NCBI's taxonomy places the organism in Eukaryota, Fungi, Basidiomycota, Agaricomycetes, Agaricales, Mycenaceae.
GGCCUGGUGGCGUAAUGGUAACACACUUGCUUCACUUAUUUUGCAAGGGUUACAGAUUUAAGCUGGGGUUCCUUGUUCGAUUCAAGGUCAGGCCA